RNAcentral lists this long non-coding RNA (300 nucleotides) under Carica papaya (papaya). RNAcentral describes it as "long non-coding RNA (CPAP_LNC001084)". Lineage: Eukaryota; Viridiplantae; Streptophyta; Magnoliopsida; Brassicales; Caricaceae. The record is from RNAcentral.
GCUCGUUGCCCCAAUCGCAUCACCCAGCACCACCACAGUACAAUCUGGUGCCUCCAUCGUAUCAUCCAGUAACAUCACAAAGCCAUCUGGUCCAUCCAGCACAAUCCAAUCUCUCUUCCACGAGACCCAGUUCAUCCCAUGAUGGACCUAGACUACAUUGACAUGUAUAAAAGAUUAAACUCAUCUAAUUUUGUAGGAGCAUCCUCCUUUGAAGAGGUCGAGUACUGAUUAGCUGAGACAGAGUAGGCCUUCACGACUCUUGUGGUGAUUCUCGAACAAAGAGUCAUACUUGCCACCUAC